AUGAACGCUGGCGGCGUGCCUAAUACAUGCAAGUCGAGCGAACAGACGAGGAGCUUGCUCCUCUGACGUUAUCGGCGGACGGGUGAGUAACACUUUGAUAACCUACCUAUAAUUCUGGGAUAACUUCGGGAAACCGGAGCUAAUACCGGAUAAUAUAUUUAACCGCAUGGUUCAAUAGUGAAAUACGGUUUUGCUGUCACUUAUAGAUUGAUCCUCGCCGCAUUAGCUAGUUGGUAAGGUAACGGCUUACCAAGGCAACGAUGCGUAGCCGACCUGAGAGGGUGAUCGGACACACGGGAACUGAGACACGGUCCAGACACCUACGGGAGGCAGCAGUAGGGAAUCUGCCGCAAUGGGCGAAAGCCUGACGGAGCAAAGCCGCGUGAGUGAUGAAGGUCUUCGGAUCGUAAAACUCUGUUAUUAGGGAAGAACAAAUGUGUAAGUAACUAUGCACGUAUUGACGGUACCUAAUCAGAAAGCAACGGCUAACUACGUG
RNAcentral lists this ribosomal RNA (496 nucleotides) under uncultured bacterium. Its description in RNAcentral is "partial 16S ribosomal RNA". It matches the Rfam family "Bacterial small subunit ribosomal RNA", at positions 29 to 507 of the family's 1533-position model. The record is from RNAcentral.